Molecule: ribosomal RNA, 466 nt
Filed under: uncultured bacterium
Lineage: Bacteria
Description: partial 16S ribosomal RNA
Rfam family: Bacterial small subunit ribosomal RNA
Source: RNAcentral
GAUGAACGCUGGCGGCGCGCCUAACACAUGCAAGUCGAACGAUUAAAGCACCUUCGGGUGUGUAUAAAGUGGCGAACGGCUGAGUAACACGUGGGCAACCUGCCCCUCUCAUUGGGAUAGCCACGGGAAACCGUGGAUAAUACCGAAUACUUCGGGACUUCCGCAUGGAAGACUCGAGAAAGCUCCGGCGGAGAGGGAUGGGCCCGCGGCCUGUUAGCUUGUUGGUGGGGUAAUGGCCUACCAAGGCAAUGAUGGGUAGCUGGGUUGAGAGACCGACCAGCCAGAUUGGGACUGAGACACGGCCCAGACUCCUACGGGAGGCAGCAGUGGGGAAUCUUGCACAAUGGGCGAAAGCCUGAUGCAGCGACGCCGCGUGCGGGAUGAAGGCCUUCGGGUGGUAAACCGCUUUCAGCAGGGACGAGGCGAAAGUGACGGUACCUGCAGAAGAAACCCCGGCUAACUACGU